RNAcentral lists this long non-coding RNA (1077 nucleotides) under Helianthus annuus (common sunflower). RNAcentral describes it as "hypothetical non coding rna". Lineage: Eukaryota; Viridiplantae; Streptophyta; Magnoliopsida; Asterales; Asteraceae. The record is from RNAcentral.
GCUUUUUCUCUUUUCCCUCUUCUUGCUUUUAUUCGGUUUCUCAAACUCCCGCUUCUUCCCCAUCCCAUUUCCUGUGUCCCUGGAGAUGCCAUUCUGAAACAUUUAGCAACCACCAUCACACACCAUAAUGAAGAAAUGAUGUAGCGAAAUAUGGCAAGUGCAGGGUCAACCUUAAGCUUUGGGAAGUAAAGCCCUAGAUUAGGGCUCCAAAUACUUUUAGAUCUACCCAACGUUAGGGUUAAUGCUUCAAAUUUAAAAUAGAUUUGAGGUCUUGCCCAAUCCUUCAUUAACAGAUUUUGUGCACUUGAUAAAGCACGCCAGGUGUUCGAUGCCAUGCGGAAGAGAGGCGCUUUCAAUUUUACGGAUGCCAACAAGAUCACAUGUAACGUUAAGUAUACACAAUUAAGGAAGUGUGCAGAAAUUGAGUAAUUUCUCUCUUCUUACAAGUAUUUUUAAUCUUUUUGUUAGGACUUGGGAGUUUAGUGGAAGAGUGAAAGGUAUACAGCUGGAUAUUGUAGACACAACAAGUGCUCAAGAAUCAAGAUGCUUUUCUAGCUGGAGUAUCAUCAAAACAGGUAGUGAAUGAACCACUUGAAAGUAUAUGAUAUCCUAUGUUCUUGGUUUAGAUGGGAAUAGCAUGGCAAAAGUGUUUUAUGAGCUUUGUACAGUGUAAAUGAGGGACUGAUAGUACGUGUCUUGGUGACGCCUUUGUUCGGUCUUAGUUCAAUGGUUGGAUUGCUGAUGAAUCUAGGCAUGUCUUUAAUGCUUCAAAGUAUAUUCACUAUGAGGGUGCUAAGGUUUAAACCAAGCGUCCGCUACGUAUUGAAGAGGGCCACUUAAGGAAAAAAAAAUGAGCUAAAAGCUUUACGAAAAGUUUUUGAAGGCCAAUGAGCAAACUUUGAAGCUACGGUGUGAAAUAUUAUGAAAAGGCUACACAUUUAAGUAUUUCGGGAUUUUAGAUUAGAUUAAUAGGAUGUUUGUUGAAAACUAUAUUUAUUUAUUACAUUGUUAUUUUGAGAUUGGACACAUGUAAAAUUACCGGAACAGUUAUAUAUCGUAUUUAUGUUAUUAUUGUGU